This 1122-nucleotide long non-coding RNA is filed under the name Calidris pugnax (ruff). Its description in RNAcentral is "lncRNA (ENSCPUG00000008988.1)". Lineage: Eukaryota; Metazoa; Chordata; Aves; Charadriiformes; Scolopacidae. The record is from RNAcentral.
AUGUCCCAUGUAGAUCCUGUGUCCAUCCUGUGUCCUUCCCAUGUCCCGUGUAGAUCCCAUGUCCAUCCCAUGUCCAUCCCGUGUCCAUCCUAUGUCCCUCCCAUGUCCUAUGUCCAUCCUGUGUCCAUCCCGUGUCCUUCCUAUGUCCCAUGUAGAUCCUGUGUCCCUCCCAUGUCCCUCCCGUGUCCAUCCUGUGUCCUUCCCAUGUCCCAUGUAGAUCCCAUGUCCAUCCCAUGUCCAUCCUGUGUCCUUCCCAUGUCCCAUGUAGAUUCCGUGUCCAUCCUGUGUCCAUCCCGUGUAGAUCCCAUGUCCCUCCCAUGUCCAACCCAUGUCCCAUGUAGAUCCCAUGUCCUUCCCGUGUCCAUCCCAUGUCCUUCCCAUGUCCUGUGUCCAUCCCGUGUCAUUCCCAUAUUCCAUGUACAUCCCAUGUCCUUCCCAUGUCCUAUGUCCCUCCCGUGUCCCUCCCAUGUCCAUCCCAUGUCCCUCCCAUGUCCUUCCCAUGUCCAUCCCAUGUCCAUCCUCUGUCCUUUCCAUGUCCCAUGUAGAUUCCGUGUCCAUUCCGUGUGCAUCCCGUGUAGAUCCCGUGUCCCUCCCAUGUCCAUCCUGUGUCCAUCCCAUGUCCUUCCCAUGUAGAUCCCAUGUCUGUCUCGUGUGCAUCCCAUGUCCCGUGUAGAUCCUGUGUCCUUCCCAUGUUCAUCCCAUGUCCCAUGUAGAUCCUGUGUCCAUCCUGUGUCCUUCCCAUGUCCCGUGUAGAUCCCAUGUCCAUCCCAUGUCCAUCCCGUGUCCAUCCUAUGUCCCUCCCAUGUCCUAUGUCCAUCCUGUGUCCAUCCCGUGUCCUUCCUAUGUCCCAUGUAGAUCCUGUGUCCCUCCCAUGUCCCUCCCGUGUCCAUCCUGUGUCCUUCCCAUGUCCCAUGUAGAUCCCAUGUCCAUCCCAUGUCCAUCCUGUGUCCUUCCCAUGUCCCAUGUAGAUUCCGUGUCCAUCCUGUGUCCAUCCCGUGUAGAUCCCAUGUCCCUCCCAUGUCCAACCCAUGUCCCAUGUAGAUCCCAUGUCCUUCCCGUGUCCAUCCCAUGUCCUUCCCAUGUCCUGUGUCCAUCCCGUGUCAUUCCCAUAUUCCAUGUACA